RNAcentral lists this ribosomal RNA (253 nucleotides) under uncultured bacterium. Its description in RNAcentral is "partial 16S ribosomal RNA". It matches the Rfam family "Bacterial small subunit ribosomal RNA", at positions 524 to 776 of the family's 1533-position model. The record is from RNAcentral.
UACGUAGGAGGCAAGCGUUGUCCGGAAUUACUGGGCGUAAAGCGCGUGUAGGUGGUGGGACAAGUCUGCUGUGAAAGCGCCUGGCUUAACCGGGCGAGGUCGGCGGAAACUGUCCGACUCGAGGACGGUAGAGGGGGGUGGAAUUCCCGGUGUAGUGGUGAAAUGCGUAGAUAUCGGGAGGAACACCAGUGGCGGAGGCGACUACCUGGCCUGUUCUUGACGCUGAGGCGCGAAAGCUAGGGGAGCAAACGGG